This 508-nucleotide ribosomal RNA is filed under the name uncultured bacterium. Its description in RNAcentral is "partial 16S ribosomal RNA". It matches the Rfam family "Bacterial small subunit ribosomal RNA", at positions 28 to 507 of the family's 1533-position model. The record is from RNAcentral.
GACGAACGCUGGCGGCGUGCCUAAUACAUGCAAGUCGAACGCUUCUUUCCUCCCGAGUGCUUGCACUCAAUUGGAAAGAGGAGUGGCGGACGGGUGAGUAACACGUGGGUAACCUACCCAUCAGAGGGGGAUAACACUUGGAAACAGGUGCUAAUACCGCAUAACAGUUUAUGCCGCAUGGCAUAAGAGUGAAAGGCGCUUUCGGGUGUCGUUGAUGGAUGGACCCGCGGUGCAUUAGCUAGUUGGUGAGGUAACGGCUCACCAAGGCCACGAUGCAUAGCCGACCUGAGAGGGUGAUCGGCCACACUGGGACUGAGACACGGCCCAGACUCCUACGGGAGGCAGCUGUAGGGAAUCUUCGGCAAUGGACGAAAGUCUGACCGAGCAACGCCGCGUGAGUGAAGAAGGUUUUCGGAUCGUAAAACUCUGUUGUUAGAGAAGAACAAGGACGUUAGUAACUGAACGUCCCCUGACGGUAUCUAACCAGAAAGCCACGGCUAACUACGUG